UACGGGGGGAGCAAGCGUUGUUCGGAUUUACUGGGCGUAAAGGGCGCGUAGGCGGCCACCGCAAGUCGGUUGUGAAAUCUCCGGGCUUAACCCGGAAAGGUCAAUCGAUACUGCGGGGCUAGAGUGCAGAAGGGGCAACUGGAAUUCUCGGUGUAGCGGUGAAAUGCGUAGAUAUCGAGAGGAACACCUGCGGCGAAGGCGGGUUGCUGGGCUGGCACUGACGCUGAAGCGCGAAAGCUAGGGGAGCGAACGGG
This 254-nucleotide ribosomal RNA is filed under the name uncultured bacterium. Its description in RNAcentral is "partial 16S ribosomal RNA". It matches the Rfam family "Bacterial small subunit ribosomal RNA", at positions 524 to 776 of the family's 1533-position model. The record is from RNAcentral.